RNAcentral lists this unclassified non-coding RNA (264 nucleotides) under Ascomycota sp. RNAcentral's name for it is "partial contains small subunit ribosomal RNA, internal transcribed spacer 1, and 5.8S ribosomal RNA". The stretch from base 1 to 47 matches the Rfam family "Eukaryotic small subunit ribosomal RNA", at positions 1785 to 1831 of the family's 1831-position model. Lineage: Eukaryota; Fungi; Ascomycota. The record is from RNAcentral.
AAAGUCGUAACAAGGUUUCCGUAGGUGAACCUGCGGAAGGAUCAUUACCUUUCAUGUCUUUAAUUAGGCAGUCGGGGGGCUUCGUACGCGUUACAAUCUAGGUUGCAUCGCCUGCGUGCCCCUGUCUGAACCCGUGUCUUUGCGUACUACUUGUUUCCUUGGUGGGCUUGCCUGCCAAAAGGACCACAUUAAACCCUUGCAAUUGCAAUCAGCGUCUGAAAAUAAUAAUAAUUACAACUUUCAACAACGGAUCUCUUGGCUCUG